This 225-nucleotide ribosomal RNA is filed under the name Triticum aestivum (bread wheat). RNAcentral's name for it is "partial small subunit ribosomal RNA". The record is from RNAcentral. Lineage: Eukaryota; Viridiplantae; Streptophyta; Magnoliopsida; Poales; Poaceae.
AUGUGUGUACCCAAAAAUCAAGGGGGCAUGGGAUUCCGGGAUAUUCAUUGUUUCAACCUAGCAAUACUGGCAAAACAAAGCGUGGCAUUUAUUGAGAAUCCAGAUUCCUUAUGUGCGACCGUGUUGAGAGCUAAAUAUUUCCCAAACGGUAAUUUAUUAAAUACAAAGCUAAGAAAGGCUCUUCUUUUACUUGGCAAAGUAUUAUGGCAGGGGUUAAUUGUCUAA